UACGUAGGGGGCAAGCGUUGUCCGGAUUUAUUGGGCGUAAAGGGCGCGUAGGCGGUUUCUUAAGUUUGGAGUGACAGUGGGUGGCUUAACUACCCAAGGCCUCUGAAAACUGGGGAACUUGAGGACCAGAGAGGGACAUAGAAUUCCGGGUGGAGUGGUGAAAUGCGUAGAUAUCCGGAGGAAUACCAAAGGCGAAGGCAGUGUCCUGGAGGGUGACUGACGCUGAGGCGCGAAAGCUAGGGGAGCGAACGAGGA
Molecule: ribosomal RNA, 255 nt
Filed under: uncultured bacterium
Lineage: Bacteria
Description: partial 16S ribosomal RNA
Rfam family: Bacterial small subunit ribosomal RNA
Source: RNAcentral